GCAGAGGAGCUGGCUUUACCCAUGAAGAAAGUGGAGGUGUGUCCGGGUCGAGUCGUUGCAAUCAUCACGUGGGUCGGCAGCCGGCCGGAGCUGAAGUCUGUGAUGCUGAACUCACACACUGAUGUGGUUCCGGUUUAUGAGGAACACUGGAAGCAUGAUCCAUUUGCUGCUGUUAAAGAUGAGCAUGGCAACAUCUACGGCAGAGGAUCUCAGGAUAUGAAAUGUGUCACGA
Molecule: long non-coding RNA, 232 nt
Organism: Sinocyclocheilus rhinocerous
Lineage: Eukaryota; Metazoa; Chordata; Actinopteri; Cypriniformes; Cyprinidae
Exons: 3
Source: RefSeq, a predicted model, not a curated record